AAUACAAGGAGGAAUGGCAUGAAUAUUCAAUCAGGUGUCUGAAUUUUUUUUUAAUGAUAUUCUAGCUAUGGUGUUUCAGGUAGCUGAAGCACAUACAGUACCAGGCAAUGUCCUCUGUGGGUUAUUUACCAUAAAUGCCAAGUCAGUGCUUUGAUUUGUUUUCCCACUCCAGUCAUUUAUCUCACCCCAGCACUUUACAGUUAUUGCACCAAACGUGGUUUUACCGCCUACUAAUGGUACGAAAAUAUGCACCAAUUAUUGUCUGGUUAUGGGAUAUCCUAUUCAGAUGGAAUUCCAUGAAUAAUUUAUAAUUGUACGUUAUAAUUGCUUGCUAAAUAUAAAUCUCUCACUACUUGAUCUAUCUUUCCAGCCAAGCUAACCCCUGGCUUGAUCUACAGCAUAGAAAAUGGGAUGUGAAGAUCAGCUCUCUGCUUUGAGGGAAAUUGCUGCAGUGAGCCCUUCUAUAAAGGGUGUAUUUAAACCCACCCCCAGUGCUUUGCAUGCAAGACAGGUUUCAGCUCAAAGCACUUAUCAGACACUUCUUGAGAAUACUAAAAUAUGUCGAUGAACUAUACAAUCAGGAACUUAUAGGAUGAUGUAUAGUAACCCUUGAUAACAUACAAAUCAUUGUUUUUUUUUGUAUUUUUUUAAGACCACAGUAGUGGCUGCACAAAUAAUUGAACAAUGCGUCAUUCACUAUUAAGUAUGUAUGACUCGGUGUGCCAAAAUCAGCAUAUAUUUUAUCUCAUUGUAUCCUGGUGCUACUGGAGAACGUAUAUUUGUGACAAUGGAGUGACAGCACCUCUGCUAAAACUUUGGCAAGUACAGCACAGAUGUACUUAUUUUAAAAAGCAUUGUUACAAAGUAAUCAUCAGUACAUUAUGUAUAAUGGGGUGUAAUGAUCAAGGUUGUUGGUCCAUUACCCAGACUAUCUCACAUUCAGAAUCUAAUUUGGCAUUGCUUGUUGGUGAAAGUUAAAGAGGUUCGUGACAAUACUGAGCAACUGAAGCUGAUGUGUUGCGAAGAGUGUAGCAAAAAGCUUGAUAAUGGUAUUACAGGUUGUCUGGAAUCCUAUGCUAAAUCCAAAAUAAGUUAUUCCAAAUUUGAAUACAGAUACGCUGAAUCAUGUCAGUACUUACUAUUUCUUUACCAAACCCAUUAUUGUAAAAUUACCCUGAAUAUAAAACUAUUUUAUUGUUUUACACUUUUUCAAGCUUCAGUAAUACACCAAUGCAAAUUAAUUUCCCAGGCCAAAUCUGAAAGUGCACAUUACAUUCAAGAUUAUCAUGAAGGCUAGUACAGUACAUCACACAAGUGAGCUCAAACAUUAUAACUAAGCAGCAAGACCUAUUCUAAAUGCAAAUUACAGGACUCAUCAUUUGAAUCUGGAUAUUAAAAAAAAGACUGGGAUGGUUACAUCCGAGUGCCAGACAAAAAGUUCACCCUGCAAUAUUUGCCUGCUUAUUAUCUUGCAUAUAUUAAAACAGACUUGUAUAGAUGUACUGCAGUUCAUUAACUUAUAAUCCCUCUAGCGUAAGCACCGCAGGGCAUUGUGUUUUUCCAGUACUGGAAUUCCACUACAGUAUGUUCAUUUAUUGCUAGGAAUAGAUCCUGUAUUCAUUCAAAAUUGCUUCUUAAAAUACUCCUGUGUUGUACAUAGAAGCCUGUGCAACACUGAUAUGUAGGACAAAAACAACAUUGGUGGCAGUAUACUAGAAUCCAGAAAUACAAGACAAGGACACUACACUUCAAGUGACAGCAGGGAUAUUGUGUAGUAUCAAGCCUGUUGGCAGUAGUUAAUUCCUCAUUUGUUUAAUUUGAAAACCAGGGAAGAUCUACUGAAGCAGUCAUCUAAUUUUCAAGUUAAAUUCACGCUUCUGAAUUAUUCUAUGAGCUACAAUGCACAACAGCAACUACAGAUAUUAAAAUAUAGAAGGGUUUAGUUUGUUACUGUUAUACAUGAGACAUUUUAUUGAUCUAGCUGCUCACAUGGAAAGAGCAGGAGACAUUUUCACACAUGCCAAGUGAGCAUGCUGUGUCUCCUAAUGUGUGCAAUAGACAGUUUUUAUCAAAAACUUUGCAUCACUUACUCAGCAAGUGCCUUAGUGCACAUACUUUCAAAUCUUGGUUUAGACUCCUAAUGAAGAUGAUUUAGCAUAUUUAUUUUCUUCAAAAUACACAAUACAUUUGUGGAUAGUACUGACUAUUCAGCACGGAGAAUCCGCUAUGAAUGAAUGGCAAUGAAUGAAUGAUGAUGAUUGCAAUUGCAGAUGAUUUAUGAACUGUGAAGGGCGCUCAGGGCCCGAGUGAAAGAUAAAUUUGGCCGGAGGCCUCAUCCGUGGGUGCCCGAUGGCUACCUGCGCGAGGCUGGCUGGAAAUACUUGAACAGUUAAAUGUGUCCCAAUUUCGCAGAUAGGAAGUGGCUGUGGUCACCUCCCCCCGAAAAGACGAGGCCAUCAAACUAUGAAUGAAUAAUAAUAAAUAAUUAACACGCUCCACAGUGGCGCCCUGCCACCUAUGCCCCAUAUUGAAAUUAAUAAAAAUCAACAGCUGAGACACGGCCCCUCCCCCAGAGCAUGACUGCGCUGGAGGAGAGAGCUCAGCCUGUCCAACCCGAUCACUCACCCCGCAGAACUAAAUACGAACCGCUCAGCACUCAGUUAAGGAAAAAAACCCUACUCACAUAUUUUUAAAUUUUAGGGGGAAACCUCAGGGAAUCCUUGGCUGAGGGCAGCCCUUCCUCCAGGCUCUAAGCGGUCAACUCCCGUUUCGGCCUCCCAGCGCUUGACUGAGUGGCCGAAACAAAAAGAAGCGAGAAACAAAAAAGAAGCGACAUGAAAGAAUAACACACAAAGCUUUUAUGUGCUUGCUGAUGAUGUAUUGGUUAGGGGCGGAUUCUCCUUUGCAGAAAAGCAACCAAGUUUACAACUGGUGAUUUUCCGUGGGAAAUAUAUACAUAUAUUCAGGAGCACCCCCAGAAAUCUUUCACAUGGUACGCAAAACUGAACCACACCGACAUCCCAUCUCGUGCUGAUAACGACUGCAUCAACAUGCUGUAAAGUGUUUCAGCCAAUCAGAGUGCUGCAUUUUUGUUCUUUCCUGAGUUGCAACUACACUGUCACAUUAGAAAACUGCAAUCAAAUUGUAUCACUGUUUGCCUUUCUAAAAAUGAAUAAAAACAGCGUACUGUGUUUUAUCUUACACGUUGUGAUGAAAUAGGCAGUUAAAAUAAAACAUUAUUAAUAAUAAUAAUAAUAAUAAUAAUAAUAAUAAUAAUAAUACAACUUGGCAAUUAUGUGUUAAUGAUUAGGACAUGUAUUAUUCAUUUUAAUAUAAGACACAGACAAAUAAAAAUGAAACUUGCAUAAAUGUGCACUUACCGUGCUUAAUCCUGGAAGAGCAGCAGAAUUCAGGUAAUGCAAGACUAACAUUCAAUGCUGCUAACGUAUUUUCGGCGUUUAAAACUCCACCACCGUUAGUGCCAGAAACAGACAGUUUGGUGCUUUUACUGAUUUUUUCCCUGUGGCAUUCUGGGUCAUCAGAAGAAAGAUUUUCGCUCUUUUUAAGGCUUCACCCAACACCUGCUUCCGUUUGCUCUUUACUGCCACAUAAUAAACAGUACAAUCCUAUAAGCUUAAAAUGUCUGUUUUGCUUCAACCGAUCGAACAAGAUUAUAUGCCAACAUUUUGCAAACCAGUAUUACGCACAAUGCUUAAUGUGCGUACAGCUAUGGGCACCAAUGCAUAUAUUUGUUACCAUAUAUACAGAUGACAUCAAAAAAGUUUACAGUUUUAAUUUAUUCCAAAACCUAUUCCUUGUGAAGUCUGAGUCCUUUUUUAAAAUCUUUUAGUAAAAGCUUUUGAAAAUAUUUUAUAUCCCAUGUUUAACAUAGAGAUGGGUCAAGAUUGAUCAAUAAAUAAAUAAAAAACACACACAUGGCAUAAAUUCCAAGAUAUAAUCCAGUUUUGCCACCAUCUGUAAACCAGAUCCUCAGGACACGUUUUGCUUUUAGAAAUAGGGUUUGCUAAAAGAUGUCCUUGGAUGCCGCAUGCCCCAUCUAUCUGUUUAACAGACAAAUUUGUCUUUCCCCAGCUACAAUUACAAUCCCUUCACGCUGGACGAUGUUUUAUUGCUGGCCAGUAUGACAGGCUGUCCAAGCCCUGCUUCAUUUCUUGAAGUGAACUUGGUCUGAGGAGACAACACACAGAAAUUAUAUUCCCGGAGUCCCAUUCUUGGGUCUAUCCAUCUGCCUUGGCACUAAGGAGAAGCCCCGGGAAGCCUGCGGCCUUGCAGUUUGUAAAGCAUUGGACGAUCUUCCCCAGGCAAAGCAAGCUAUUUGAAAGAAACAGUUGUUUCUGCAGCCUCAGUACAGGAGGGGUCCUUUGACUGGUGAUGAACUUGACUGCUUUAGUGAUUUUACACCAGAUGUAAUCCCCACAACAGCUCAGGAGAACUGAAGGUCAAUGGGCAUCCCCCGAUUGCAGGACCAAGCCAAUUGUUUCUUUACCCCCAGAGACUCUAUAUGGAUGUCAGCAAGCUACCAUCACCUGGAGGAAAAAGGCCAGCCAUUCAGGUGUUUGCUUUAAGCUCAUUCAGAAUCUGGUCAGCUGGGUUUGCUGUAGUGUAGUGAGGAGAAACCGCCAUAUCCCCAUCAUAGACCAGCAACUUUGCACAGCCAGGACCCAAACAUGCCUUCCCAUGACUGUGUGACUAACCCUGCACACCAAAUGGACAUGCCUUUAUCAGGUGAGUCACUCAGGGACCCAUUUAAUGAAAUCAAUAACAUUUGGCUUUGCAAGCACAUCAAUGUAGAGAUCAUGUUUACAUCUCUUAUAAACAUGAUUUCCUCUCUGUUACGUCAUUUGUCAAAGCAUGCUGUUCCAAGUUGAUUUCUUCCUUAGCUGUCGUUUGUUUUGAAGAUGUGCCAAACAAUUAAAAAAAAAAAAAAAAAAAAAAAAAAACAGUUCUGUAUUUAUAAAGACCUUGGAUGAUGAUACCCCCCAAAACCCCAAUGUGCAUUGUAUUAAAAGCGAUUGUCCAGAAGCCAAGUUGAAUUCUGAAGUGCUAAUUACACUUAAGUAAAGAAAUUAUGCGUUUUAAAGCAAAUAAGAUUUUUACAUUAACAUAACUUAACAAAACAUUUAGCUCUGUUUGCUGGGUCAUAUUGCAACAUGUAUGAUCAUUUUGUUACUGCACGGCUUUGGUUUUGAUUGCAAAACAAUAGAAUAUAUAUUUUUAUUACAGCCUCCUUGCCAAAUACUAAAUUUGUUCUGCAUUUCUGAAGGUUGAGAUGCACUGCUAAAAAAUAUUAGACACUAUAAUUUAAGUACGAUAAUUACAUUAAUCAUGAUAACAAUGAAUGUUGUUUCAAUUGAAAUUAUCCAAAUGCAUGAAUUAGCACUGAGUUACUUUGAGAGUAUUAUUGGUUCAAACAUUUUACAAUGAUACCUAAUAAUUUACUUAGGGUGUAUAGACCAAAUUAAGUUAACGACAUGUUAUUCAUUUAGGAAUGUUGUGCCCAUUGUAUUAUUAUUAUAUAUUUUUAACAAGAGCCCUUUGCUCUUUGUUAUAAUACAUCUAUAAUUUAGUCUCUCUCUGUCAACAUAUAUAUAUAGGCUUCUAACACACAACUAAUUAAGUUAUGGUAAGAGUACGAGUAUGGGGAAUGCUUGAAGUGAUGUAAGCUAUGAAACAUACCAGAAAUAAAUUGUAAGGAAUGCAAAAGUAAGCAACAGCAAAGCACAAUAUGUUUCUUACAGAACAAAAUAUUUGUAUUAUUAGAGAAGAUGGGGUGAAUAGGGAUCCAAUAAAAACAGUACCUCUGAGCAGUUACUUUUAAAAGUAAUCAGAAUUUUGUUUUCCUGACUAUGUUAAAUCUUUAACCUUCCCACCAAGGUUUGAGUUAUUGUUUUUAAUUCCUUAGUUAGUUGUUUUUGUUCCUCACUUUUGCUGUUGUUACUAUUUUGUGAUGAAUUACGAGUAUACAGUACAAUGUAUUCAAGGACGAUAGCUGUAACCAAGUUUGUCGCAACAUAUAGAGAUUAUCCAGUUGAGUUUCAAAUCUUAGAUAAGCACAAUAUGUAUAAGAGAACUAAUAUAUUUUAAGCACGCUAAAUAAAGAAUAUCAUUAUUGUACAAUUUUCCACUUUUGAAUAACUUGUUUUUAAAGCACAUGUCAGAUUUGCGUAAUAAUGCCGGAAAUUCUACUUUCAAAUAAUGUAAUUUCUUCCUGAAGACAGAUAAUAUCGUUUAGAUCAAACUAUCAUUUAAGCCUGCCCACUGUGCGAUUUUAAUUUAAGAGAAAUACAACAUUUAAGAUUAAUGGUAUUAAUCUACAAAGAUAAAGUGCAGUAGAGGGUCACAUCUUUUAGUGUUGGUCUCAGCCUGUGACAGAGAGCGAAUGAAUCCUAGUCAACAAUCUCCCUCCCGACCUGUGAGGGUGCGGUAUAACAGGAACAGUGUGCUUAGUACUGGAUGGUUCGGCAGUUCAUUCCAGGGUCAGUUGGAAGCCGGCCAUCCAGGAAGGGGGCGGAGUCACAAUACCAGAAGUCAUCGCCCUAGUAUGGUAAGCGAUGUGCCAGUCAUGGAUUGGAGGAGACGUGAUUGAACUAGCUAUUGGAUGGGGCGUGACUAAGGGUAUUUUAGGGGAUGUGACGAUGCAAUCUGUUCCUUUGUUGUGGUUUUACGAAAGGACCAGGAAGGAGUAAAAAUGAAACCGUGAGUGUUUAUAUUUGUUUUGUUAACCACUGUUUAUUUGUAUUUAGUAGACGGCUAACAACUAGGAGCUGUCAGAUUCCAAAUACUGCACUAGUCACCAAUAAUUGUGUAUUCAUCACCAGCACUGGAGCACCGCGAGAAAGGAUGCAGAGCCAUGCUUGUAUUAUUGUAUUAUUAUUUCAGGACUGUUUUGCUUAGCUGUGCAAUUACACAUUGCUGUAUUUAAAAUUAAAAGAACUGUUUGGA
This is a long non-coding RNA of Acipenser ruthenus (sterlet), 6963 nucleotides long. RefSeq lists it as uncharacterized. The record is from RefSeq and is a predicted model, not a curated record. The transcript is spliced from 3 exons. NCBI's taxonomy places the organism in Eukaryota, Metazoa, Chordata, Actinopteri, Acipenseriformes, Acipenseridae.